AAAACACAUUUAAAGGCUCAGUUUUCAUCUGCAUGUGGGCUUUUUCACGUCUGUUUUGCUCCAGGAGGGUUUUUCCACAGAGAGUCACUUUGCAUCGACACAUGCUUCAGCGCUCCGAGUGUUUAUAGCGUUCAGACUCAAACACUUUAUAACACACUGCUGUUUACCACGGUACAAAACCAACAAACACAAUGAAUCUCUUCAGCAGCUUCAUCUGGAUUCUGACAGCUUUUAUUCCAGCAUCCAGAGGAAUCACUGUGACUCAGCCUGAAGUUCUGACUGUUUCUGAAGGACAAGACACCACUAUAGAGUGUAAAACUAAUCCUGGAAUAACUGGCUGGGGUUUACAUUGGUAUCAGCAGAAACCUGGAGAAGCUCCUAAACUCAUAAUUUAUGCUGCAGAUAGUCUUUAUGAUGACAGUUUGAGUCGAUUCAGUGGGAAUGGAGAACAAGGUGGGACUGAUUUCACUCUGACCAUCAGUGGAGUCCAGACUGAAGAUGCUGGACAUUAUUACUGUCAGAGUGCACACUAUAUCAGUAGUAGCUGGGUGUUAACACAGUGAUAAAGAGUCGUACAAAAACCUCCGUCAGUCAGAGUCACAGAGACUGAACUGAUCCUGCAGCUGCUCAAACACUAUCACUCACUCAACAGUGCAAAAACAGAAAUAUGAUUUUAAUAUCAAUUCUG
This is a non-coding RNA of Onychostoma macrolepis, 688 nucleotides long. The record is from the annotation of a RefSeq genome assembly. NCBI's taxonomy places the organism in Eukaryota, Metazoa, Chordata, Actinopteri, Cypriniformes, Cyprinidae.